This is a long non-coding RNA of Protopterus annectens (West African lungfish), 1373 nucleotides long. RefSeq lists it as uncharacterized. The transcript is spliced from 3 exons. NCBI's taxonomy places the organism in Eukaryota, Metazoa, Chordata, Ceratodontiformes, Protopteridae. The record is from RefSeq and is a predicted model, not a curated record.
UCCUUUCUGGAAGAAGUCGAAUUUGGGUUGCCAAAGACAGCAAGAAGAAAAGGAGUGCAAUCGCCUAAAAUUUCAGGUACAUACAACGAAACUCCUCAUAUAUCCUACUUCAGGGAAGAGCCAACUGGUACAGGCAAGGAAAUAAAAUGAAGACUAGAGAAUUUCUAACUUGAAAAGUGUAAAGUUUGGGAUGGUGUUUGAGCCUACAUGAUGAGAAGACAGUCCUGUAGAUUUACAUUGGCCUUGUGAUGGGUAGACAAACAGAAGGUUUCAAAGGUUACAGAAAGGCGGAGAAAAGAGACAAAGACAAAGGAUGGUAUCUGCAAAGAUCAUUCAUCAUCACUCGGUGCUACAAGCCAAAAGAAGUCAUGAAUAGCAAUUGCCUUUUAUUCCAAAAUGGAUUUGCACACCAGGGUAUUUCAAAUCCCUGAAAAGCCAAGUUGGGACUCAUCUGCUGUAUUCAUCUGCCUGAAAUAAGCCCUAGUAAAAGGCGUACAGAAGUUCUGAGGGUAGUCAUAAAAAACAAAGCCAAGUCCUGAUUUCUGUUUACUGCAGCUUCCUUUCUGCAAGAUGUUGUUGUAAAAGGUUUUACUUCCUUAUUAGACACUGAUAGACUGGAGAAGGAUGUGAAUUAAAAUGGUCUGCUGUCCGUUAAACAUUUUGCAUCUCUACCAUCUUGCUGCAGCAUCUGCUAUGCACAAUGGCAAUAUAUUUCACUUUAAGCAUUUCAGUUACUUAUUCAUAACAUCAAGGCACAUGUUCUACACUAAGAUGAUACACUCCUUUUUGUAAAUAAACCUGCUAUUUUGUCAUUUUUUUAACAGUUCUGCUUAUAAAGAUAUUGACUGCAGAUGAUAAAACAUCUGUUUGGGUAAAUCAGCAAAUGGAAACAUUCCUUCAUGCAUAAUGUAAAAACAAAGUAUAACAUAGAAAUGAUUCCCCACAGAGAAACUGAAUACUCGUAAAGCCUUUUUAAAAUACAUAUGUGUACAAAUUUCCUUUACAUAUUUUCAUACCUACUCAUGAUAAGAAAAUCAUGACAAAUAUUUAGAAACUUCAAAAAAUGGUUCUUUAAGUAUUAUGAUAUAUUACCCAUAACACAACUCUUCAUCUCUGAGCAGUAACUUUAUUUAAGGGUUUGAAUGCUUGAAUUUAGCUGUAUACUUGGCAUACACAGACCAUCAUACCCUAAUCCACUGAUGGUUUUGCUGCAGUAGAACCAUGUUAUUAAACAUACUUGCUACCUACUUGAUACAGUUCAAUUUAACAAGAAGGGCAGUUUAGCUGAUACAGUUCAAUUUAACUAGAAGGGCAGUUUAGCUAACUCAGCAGCAUGUGUAAAUGUUUUCAUUUGUCAAAAUAUAAAAUUAAAA